UUUAUGAUUUUUUUUUUUGAAACAAGGUCUCACUUUGUAGCCCAGGCUGGCCUUGUACUCACAGCGAUGCUCCUGCCUCAGCUUCCCAAGUUCUGGGACCACAGGCAUGUGACACCACGCCUGGAUGUGAUUUGUCUCUUCUGUCUGUCCAGUCUGCUGUAAUUUCACCAGUAAAUUUUCACUUGAGGUACUGUGUUUGUCAUAUGUAGGUGUUCAGUUUUCUUUACAUUUUCCAUUUCUCUGUUUCACAUGCUCAGCCCUCCCUUUAGGUUCUAAACAUAUCAGUUAUAGUUAUAAUGACUGUGCUGAUGUCUUUGUCUGCUAGUUCUGUUUUGUCUAAUUCAGGGUGUCCUUUCUGGUUGUUCCUGUUAAUCGCAUUUUCUCGUUCUCGGUUGUAUUUUCCUGCACGCUUACAUGCCUAGCAGCUUUUCUUCUGGAUGCUGGACUCCGUGAGUUUCCCCUUCUUAAGCUGGAUAUUUUUCUGUCCCCACAAAUAUCUCCUUUCGCUUUAUUCUGGGAAGCAGUUACAUUACUUGGAAACACGUGAGUCUUGCAACGCUCUGCCAAAGCCUCGUUAGGCAGGAUGAGUGUGGGCAAAGUCCUUUCGAGAAGUUACCUGUGCCCUGCGAAUGACACCGCUCUUCACUCAAGAAUCCAGCACUGUGGACACUCCAGCCGGCAAGCCACACGCUCUCCUCUGUCUCAGGAACCACUGUGCUCUGAUCUUAGUGUGCAGGGUCCGAAGCCACUGAAGAAGGGAUGGAGAGGUCGAGAAGGAAGAGUGAAUCCAGCCCCUGUUACUCCAUCCUGCCCCGUCCUACCCCAUCUUUUGGAGAUAUUUGCAGUGAUUCAAACCCCGGGGUCUCGAAGGUUUCUAUGCUUUUAUGACAGCUGGAAACGUCCUCCUCCCACCGUGGCUGUUGGCAAGGCUCCUCUCCUCGCAGAGCUUACCAGCCCCGCCCCAGCCAGCGCCUCCCUGUGCUGCUGGGCCCCACACAAGGCAGAACUCCGCUCCCCUCCCUGA
This 1024-nucleotide long non-coding RNA is filed under the name Chinchilla lanigera (long-tailed chinchilla). Its description in RNAcentral is "lncRNA (ENSCLAG00000026524.1)". The record is from RNAcentral. Lineage: Eukaryota; Metazoa; Chordata; Mammalia; Rodentia; Chinchillidae.